GAUGAACGCUGGCGGCGUGCCUAAUACAUGCAAGUCGAGCGGAAAGAUGAGGAGCUUGCUCCUCUGACGUUUGCGGCGGACGGGUGAGUAACACGUGGAUAACCCACCUAUAAGACUGGGAUAACUUCGGGAAACCGGAGAUAAUACCGGAUAAUAUAUUGAACCGCAUGGUUCAAUAGUGAAAGACGGGUUUGCUGUCACUUAUAGAUGGAUCCGCGCCGCAUUAGCUAGUUGGUAAGGUAACGGCUUACCAAGGCGACGAUGCGUAGCCGACCUGAGAGGGUGAUCGGCCACACUGGAACUGAGACACGGUCCAGACUCCUACGGGAGGCAGCAGUAGGGAAUCUUCCGCAAUGGGCGAAAGCCUGACGGAGCAACGCCGCGUGAGUGAUGAAGGUCUUCGGAUCGUAAAACUCUGUUAUUAGGGAAGAACAAAUGUGUAAGUAACUAUGCACGUCUUGACGGUACCUAAUCAGAAAGCCACGGCUAACUACGUG
Molecule: ribosomal RNA, 497 nt
Filed under: uncultured bacterium
Lineage: Bacteria
Description: partial 16S ribosomal RNA
Rfam family: Bacterial small subunit ribosomal RNA
Source: RNAcentral